AUCGAGAGAUAAUAUAUAAACUAAUAAGAAGAAUUAAAUAACGUACCUUUUGUAUAAUCGAAACUCUAAUUCACUUUUUAUUUAACUUCCCGACUAAUUAAGAGCUAUUUUAUUUAUUCAUUAAUGUUACAUAAUUAAUUAUAAAUCUAAAAUAGAUGUGAAAUGCUAUCCGCUUAAUUUGAUAACUGGUUAAAGAGUAAUAAUUCAAUUAUAAAAUAAAAGAAAUGUUUCAGCUUUUCUUUCUUUCUCGGAUAAUUAUAAACAACAAUAAACAGGGCUAGAAAUACCCCAUUAUAACUAACUUUCAUUAUUACUUGUAAUCCUUUCACAAGAUAAACUAUAUUUCCAUAUAAUACACUCUUUCCAUAAAUUUAACCUUCAAUUAUUAAGAUAAUAAGUUUAUUAGUACUUAAAUAUUUUAUUUUUUCUAACUCGGCAAUCUAUUUGUUCAACUGUUUAUCAAAAACAUUUCUUUAUGUUUUUAUAUAAAGUACGACCUGCUCAAUGAUAUAAAUUAAAUAGCCGCAGUAUACUGACUGUGCAAAGGUAGCAUAAUCGUUUGCCUUAUAAUUGAARRGCUAGAAUGAAUGGUCACAUGUAACAAUUUCUUUUAUAAAAUAAAUAAAAUUAAAUUUAUCUGCUAGUGAAAAAGCUAGCAUUAUCGUGUUAGACAAGAAGACCCUAGGAGUUUUCAUUAUACUAUAUUGUAAAUUUUUUAGUUGGGGCAACAAAGUAUAAAUUCAUACUAUUUUUUAAUUUAAAACUUUUAUAUAAAUUUAAUAAAUUACCCUAGGGAUAACAGAAUAAUUUUAAUUUAGAGACCAAAUCAAAAUUAAAGCUUAUUACCUCGAUGUUGGAUUAAGGUGCUGGUGGAAGCAACCGUUCACCCUUGCUUGUCUGUUCGACAAUAAAACCCUUACAUGAUCUGAGUUCAGACCGGCGUGAGCCAGGUUAGUUUCUAUCUUCACUUAAAAUUAAAUUUAUUCAGUACGAAAGGACCAAUAAAUAUUAUUAAUAU
Molecule: ribosomal RNA, 1018 nt
Filed under: Siphonodentalium lobatum
Lineage: Eukaryota; Metazoa; Mollusca; Scaphopoda; Gadilida; Siphonodentaliidae
Description: large subunit ribosomal RNA
Rfam family: Archaeal large subunit ribosomal RNA (bases 664-968)
Source: RNAcentral